RNAcentral lists this ribosomal RNA (253 nucleotides) under uncultured bacterium. Its description in RNAcentral is "partial 16S ribosomal RNA". It matches the Rfam family "Bacterial small subunit ribosomal RNA", at positions 524 to 776 of the family's 1533-position model. The record is from RNAcentral.
UACGUAGAGGGCAAGCGUUGUCCGGAUUUAUUGGGCGUAAAGAGCGUGUAGGCGGCCAUACAGGUCAGCUGUGAAAACUCGAGGCUCAACCUCGAGACGUCGGUUGAAACCGUAUGGCUAGAGUCCGGAAGAGGAGAGUGGAAUUCCCGGUGUAGCGGUGAAAUGCGCAGAUAUCGGGAAGAACACCCGUGGCGAAGGCGGCUCUCUGGAACGGUACUGACGCUGAGACGCGAAAGCGUGGGGAGCGAACAGG